Molecule: transfer RNA, 72 nt
Filed under: Elasmodactylus tetensis (Zambezi thick-toed gecko)
Lineage: Eukaryota; Metazoa; Chordata; Lepidosauria; Squamata; Gekkonidae
Description: tRNA-Trp
Source: RNAcentral
AAGUUUAGCUUAUAAAACUACAAACCAAGAGCCUUCAAAGUUCUAAAUAGGGAAAACCCGCCCUAACUCCUG